RNAcentral lists this ribosomal RNA (265 nucleotides) under uncultured archaeon. Its description in RNAcentral is "partial 16S ribosomal RNA". It matches the Rfam family "Archaeal small subunit ribosomal RNA", at positions 718 to 982 of the family's 1478-position model. The record is from RNAcentral.
AGUCACUGACAUUAGAUACCCCGGUAGUCCCAGCCGUAAACUAUGCGCGUUAGGUGUACUGGUGACCACGAGUCACCGGGGUGCCGAAGGGAAACCGUGAAACGUGCCGCCUGGGAAGUACGGUCGCAAGGCUGAAACUUAAAGGAAUUGGCGGGGGAGCACCACAACGGGUGGAGCUUGCGGUUUAAUUGGAUUCAACGCCGGAAAUCUUACCGGGACCGACAGCAAUAUGAAGGCCAGGCUGAAGACUUUGCCGGAUUAGCUG